UACGUAGGGAGCAAGCGUUGUCCGGAAUCAUUGGGCGUAAAGCGCGCGUAGGUGGCCCCAUAAGUCCGCUGUGAAAGUCAAAGGCUCAACCUUUGAAAGCCGGUGGAUACUGUGGGACUAGAGUACGGAAGAGGCGAGUGGAAUUCCUGGUGUAGCGGUGGAAUGCGCAGAUAUCAGGAGGAACACCGAUGGCGAAGGCAGGUCUCUGGGCCAUAACUGACGCUGAGAAGCGAAAGCAUGGGGAGCGAACAGG
Molecule: ribosomal RNA, 253 nt
Filed under: uncultured bacterium
Lineage: Bacteria
Description: partial 16S ribosomal RNA
Rfam family: Bacterial small subunit ribosomal RNA
Source: RNAcentral